AGGGCUGUCCCUCCCUGGAACACGCCCCUUCUGAGCUGUUGCGGCUGCUCUGGUGACUCCAGGGGGCUGGGGCUCUGCCUCACUCAGAGGACCAGGGCCUCACUCCUGCUAAAGACAUCUGUGACCCUCCUGUUGAGGAAGUGACAGGACGGCUCGGUGCCUAGUGCCCGCUGCCACCCAAUGACGGCUGAUGGCUGCUUUUGAAAGGAAGGGUUCUGUCCUCUCCAGGGCUGGGCAUCAACCUGCAGAAACCUGUGCCAGGGCCACUCUGGAGGCUCUGCUGCAGCCUGUUCAGGUCCCACGCUGCCCAAGUCAUUGCCCAUUGUCUCCAGGCUAAGGAUUUCCAGUGUCCUGGAUCUCUUGCCGUGGGUUUGGGACAAAGUGGGGCACACCAGUCCCUCGGGAAUGGCCUCCGCCAGCAGGACUGUCCAGCAACAUCUGUGCCAAGUGAGGACAAGCACGGGUUCUUUGGAACUUGCUCUAGCAAGGCACUUGGCACCGUCCCCGAGUCUGGCAGGGCAGCGGGAGCCUGGAAAGCAGCAGAGACGGGUGGAGGCCUGGCGGAGGCUGCUGUGUGGGGAGUGGAGGCGGCUAACUGGAAGCAGGGCGUCCUGUGUGGUUGGUGAGGGGUGCACUUUCCACUGUCUCCUGCUGGUCCCCUGUGGGAAGUGAGGACAAAGCCCAGGGACGCUGUCCGAUACAGAUCCAGCCCUAGCAGCCGGCCUGCUGCUGCGGGGCUUCUUCUCGUGUCUCUUUCCCAGACUCAGUGCUCCAUGGUGGGCGACAGCUGACCUUCUAGAUGGCCUUGGCAUUGCUCCUGGGUCAGUGUCUCGGAGGCUGCCCAAGGCCGCCUUCUCCCAGAGCCUCCCCGAAGUGAACAGGAGGGUGGGAAACAGCACAGUCCACACACAACCACAGGGGGAUUCU
RNAcentral lists this long non-coding RNA (927 nucleotides) under Marmota monax (woodchuck). The record is from RNAcentral. Lineage: Eukaryota; Metazoa; Chordata; Mammalia; Rodentia; Sciuridae.